RNAcentral lists this unclassified non-coding RNA (180 nucleotides) under uncultured Chaetothyriales. RNAcentral describes it as "sequence contains ITS1". Lineage: Eukaryota; Fungi; Ascomycota; Eurotiomycetes; Chaetothyriales. The record is from RNAcentral.
CUGAGUUAGGGUCUUUAUGGCCCGACCUCCAACCCUCUGUUGAUUAUACCAUGUUGCUUUGGCGGGCCUGCCUUUCAGGGCUGCCGGGGUGCGUUACUGCCCCUGGCCUGCGCCCGCCAGGAGCCUUUUUUAAAUUCUGAGUUAAACAAUGUUGUCUGAGUCCCAAUAUCAAAUUAUCAA